RNAcentral lists this ribosomal RNA (438 nucleotides) under Triticum aestivum (bread wheat). RNAcentral describes it as "partial small subunit ribosomal RNA". The record is from RNAcentral. Lineage: Eukaryota; Viridiplantae; Streptophyta; Magnoliopsida; Poales; Poaceae.
AUGAAUUCCGUGCGGUUGGCCAUAGCGUCGGCAUUCUUUCUGGCGGCGCUCGUGGUGACGGCCGCCGACGACGCACACCUGCUGGACGACUUCAAGGCGGCGCUGCCCAACCAGGCGUCGCUCGACGGCUGGACCGCGCACGACGGCGCCUGCAGGUUCCCCGGCGCGGUGUGCAGGGGCGAGCGCCUCACGUCGCUCUCGCUCUCCACCGUCCUGCUCAAUACUGACAUCCACGCUGUCGCGGCCACCCUGCUGCAGCUCAGCGGCGUCGAGAGGCUCAGCCUCCGCGGGGCCAACGUCAGCGAUGCGAGGCGGUGGCCGGCGGCAAGUGCGGCAGCAAGCUCGAGGUGCUCGACCUCUCCGGAAAUCCCGUGCUGCGCGGUUCCGUCGCCGACGUGGCCGCGCUCUCCGGCUCCUGCAGCGGCCUCAAUUCGUUGA